This is a regulatory RNA element of 216 nucleotides. It matches the Rfam family "PyrR binding site". Rfam says of the family: This family represents the PyrR binding site and terminator structure. This RNA structure is found upstream of a variety of genes involved in pyrimidine biosynthesis and transport. The record is from Rfam.
UUCACCUUUAAAGACAGUCCAGAGAGGCUGAAAAGGUAUUUGUGAAAUGUUAAACACAUUUUACUGUAGAAUGAUUGUAGUUGAGAAAUCCAUUGCUGAAUAUAAAUUCAGUAGGUUCAAAACGAGUCAAAUCAUCACAGGCGUAGUGUAUUUAACAUGCUCUUUAAACACAACUAUCAACAACCUCUUAAGCUGAUGCUUAGGAGGUUUUUUAUU